CCGGCACGGGUGAGUAACACGUAUGCAAUCCACCUGUAACAGGGGGAUAACCCGGAGAAAUCCGGACUAAUACCCCAUAAUAUGGGCGCUCCGCAUGGAGAGCCCAUUAAAGAGAGCAAUUUUGGUUACAGACGAGCAUGCGCUCCAUUAGCCAGUUGGCGGGGUAACGGCCCACCAAGACUACGAUGGAUAGGGGUUCUGAGAGGAAGGUCCCCCACAUUGGAACUGAGACACGGUCCAA
RNAcentral lists this ribosomal RNA (241 nucleotides) under uncultured bacterium. RNAcentral describes it as "partial 16S ribosomal RNA". It matches the Rfam family "Bacterial small subunit ribosomal RNA", at positions 100 to 334 of the family's 1533-position model. The record is from RNAcentral.